Molecule: ribosomal RNA, 406 nt
Filed under: uncultured bacterium
Lineage: Bacteria
Description: partial 16S ribosomal RNA
Rfam family: Bacterial small subunit ribosomal RNA
Source: RNAcentral
AUUGAACGCUGGCGGCAGGCCUAACACAUGCAAGUCGAACGAGUGGCGGACGGGUGAGUACUGUCUGGGAAACUGCCUGAUUGAGGGGGAUAACUACUGGAAACGUUAGCUACUACCGCAUACCAUCGGAUGUGCCCAGAUGGGCUUAGCUAGUAGGUGGGGUAAAGGCUCCCCUAGGCGACGAACCCUAGCUGGUCUGAGAGGAUGACCAGCAACACUGGAACGGAGACACGGGCCAGAGUCCUAAGGGAGGCAGCAGUGGGGAAUAUUGCACAAUGGGGGAAAGCCUGAUGCAGCCAUGGCGAGUGUAUGAAGAAGGCCUUCGGGUUGGAAAGUACUUGCAGCGGGGAGGCGUUACCCGCAGAAGAAGCACCGGCUAACUCCGUGCCAGCAGCCGCGGUAAUUC